GAUGAACGCUAGCGACAGGCUUAACACAUGCAAGUCGAGGGGCAGCAUUAAUAAUAGCAAUAUUAUUAGAUGGCGACCGGCGCACGGGUGAGUAACGCGUAUGCAACCUACCUAUCAGAUUGGGAUAGCCCAUCGAAAGAUGGAUUAAUACCGAAUAAAACAGGGGUCCCGCAUGGGAAUAUUUGUUAAAGGAUUUAUUGCUGAUAGAUGGGCAUGCGUUCCAUUAGUUAGUUGGUGUAGGUAACGGCUCACCAAGACAUCGAUGGAUAGGGGUUCUGAGAGGAAGGUCCCCCACACUGGUACUGAGACACGGACCAGACUCCUACGGGAGGCAGCAGUGAGGAAUAUUGGUCAAUGGGCGAGAGCCUGAACCAGCCAAGUCGCGUGAAGGAUGACUGCCCUAUGGGUUGUAAACUUCUUUUAUUGGGGAAUAAAAAGCACUACGUGUAGUGUAUUGCAUGUACCCAAAUGAAUAAGCAUCGGCUAACUCCGUGCCAGCAGCCGCAGUAACAC
RNAcentral lists this ribosomal RNA (513 nucleotides) under uncultured bacterium. Its description in RNAcentral is "bacterial SSU rRNA". It matches the Rfam family "Bacterial small subunit ribosomal RNA", at positions 28 to 526 of the family's 1533-position model. The record is from RNAcentral.